RNAcentral lists this ribosomal RNA (255 nucleotides) under uncultured bacterium. Its description in RNAcentral is "partial 16S ribosomal RNA". It matches the Rfam family "Bacterial small subunit ribosomal RNA", at positions 524 to 776 of the family's 1533-position model. The record is from RNAcentral.
UACGGAGGGUGCGAGCGUUAAUCGGAAUUACUGGGCGUAAAGAGUGCGUAGGUGGUUAAUUAAGUUAUCUAUGAAAUCCCUGGGCUUAACCUGGGCAGGUCAGAUGAUACUGAUUGACUCGAGUAUGGGAGAGGGUAGUGGAAUUUCCGGUGUAGCGGUGAAAUGCGUAGAGAUCGGGAAGGAACACCAGUGGCGAAGGCGGCUACCUGGCCUAAUACUGACACUGAGGCACGGAAAGCGUGGGGAGCAAACAGG